AAGGAGAGGCAGGACCAGGAUAGGGAGACCAGAGUUCACUGCUAAGCUGGUAUUGACUGUUAACAGUCAGAAUGGCAGUUAAGCUAACGGUCUCCCAGCUCGCCACUAGGCCAGAGUCUAUGGAACCAGCAGGCAAGGUUUUUCUCAGCAUCCCUCUUCUCUUUCCCUAUAAUCCCAGUCCAAGAAGAAACUGGUGGAACUCUCAUGGCUACUGGAGUCAGCCUUAGAACACCCUUCUGCUGCUGCUUCCUAUUGGUCUAGUUAACCCAGUGGUGACUAGAAUUGUUUCACAUGUGUUUGUUUUUUAGUUGUUAUUCAGAAAUUAAUUUUCUGGUCAGUGAUUGCCAUUGAAUAAUAAACUUAUAACUGGAAGGAACCUUA
Gracilinanus agilis (Agile Gracile Mouse Opossum) is the source of this 381-nucleotide long non-coding RNA. RefSeq lists it as uncharacterized. Lineage: Eukaryota; Metazoa; Chordata; Mammalia; Didelphimorphia; Didelphidae. The transcript has 2 exons. The record is from RefSeq and is a predicted model, not a curated record.